CAGCCGCCGCGGUAAUACGGAGGGCGCGAGCGUUGUCCGGAUUCACUGGGCGUAAAGCGGGUGUAGGCGGUCCUUUAAGUCUGAUGUGAAAGCCCACGGCUCAACCGUGGAGGGUCAUUGGAAACUGGGGGACUUGAGUGCAGGAGAGGAGAGCGGAAUUCCACGUGUAGCGGUGAAAUGCGUAGAGAUGUGGAGGAACACCAGUGGCGAAGGCGGCUCUCUGGCCUGUAACUGACGCUGAGGCGCGAAAGCGUGGGGAGCAAACAGGAUUAGAUACCCUGGUAGUCCACGCCGUAAACGAUGAGUGCUAAGUGUUAGAGGGGUCACACCCUUUAGUGCUGUAGCUAACGCGAUAAGCACUCCGCCUGGGGAGUACGGCCGCAAGGCUGAAACUUAAAGGAAUUGGCGGG
This 410-nucleotide ribosomal RNA is filed under the name uncultured microorganism. RNAcentral describes it as "bacterial SSU rRNA". It matches the Rfam family "Bacterial small subunit ribosomal RNA", at positions 509 to 917 of the family's 1533-position model. The record is from RNAcentral.